Molecule: ribosomal RNA, 468 nt
Filed under: uncultured bacterium
Lineage: Bacteria
Description: partial 16S ribosomal RNA
Rfam family: Bacterial small subunit ribosomal RNA
Source: RNAcentral
GACGAACGCUGGCGGCGUGCUUAACACAUGCAAGUCGAACGGAAAGGCCCUGCUUUUGUGGGGUGCUCGAGUGGCGAACGGGUGAGUAACACGUGAGUAACCUGCCCUUGACUUUGGGAUAACUUCAGGAAACUGGGGCUAAUACCGGAUAGGAGCUCCUGCUGCAUGGUGGGGGUUGGAAAGUUUCGGCGGUUGGGGAUGGACUCGCGGCUUAUCAGCUUGUUGGUGGGGUAGUGGCUUACCAAGGCUUUGACGGGUAGCCGGCCUGAGAGGGUGACCGGCCAAAUUGGGACGGAGAUACGGCCCAGACUACAACGGGAGGCAGCAGUGGGGAAUAUUGCACAAUGGGAGGAAGCAUGAUGCAGCAACGCAGCGUGCGGGAUGACGGCCUUCGGGUAGUAAACCGAUUUCGCCUGUGACGAAGCGUGAGUGACGGUAAUGGGUAAAGAAGCACCGGCUAACUACGUG